GCUGAUUGCGGAGCACCGACUACGGGACAUCCCACACCGGGAGCCACACUCCCACGGUGUCCCCGGAGCUUCCGCUUGGCUCGCCGGGAUGGGAGCGGAACUUGGUGUGGGAUGGGGACUGGAAAGGGGGGACUGGACAGGCUCGCCUCUGUCCCGGGACGGGCUCUUCGCUGUUUCUGGACCAGGAUCGAACCAGGAUGGGCUCCCGGGAACUGUUCCCCGCCGGACCACACCGGGCAGGGUCGUCGUGGUGCGCCUUCCCCGGUUCCUUUCCAGAACGGGAUCUCUGCCAUCCCUCUGUCCCCGUAUCGACCCGGGACAGGAUCUCUGCCAUCCCUUUGCUCCGAUCUGAAACGGGAUCCCUGCCAUCCUUCUGUCCUGGUACCGGAUUUGACGGGGUCCCCGCCGUCCAUCUGUCCUGCUCCCCCAGCUCUCUCCGUAGCUGCCUCCGGUGGCAACUACCUCGGGUGUUCCGAGAGUCCCGCGAUCAGCUCCAUCCCGCCUGCACGGCUUUCCCAGGGAACCCCCAAUCCACGGGUUAAAAGGAUAGCUGGAGUUUACAUGCAGAGCUGGGAGAGCCGGGCAGUGGUCUCCAUCCCGGGAGUGCCGGGGGAAUUUGUAGCCGCGGGGCCUAGGACAACCCCGAGGGAAUGUUCACCCAAACGUGAUCCCAAAGUUCGUGUUUCCCGGUGUCACUCGUUCCCAACUCAUCCAAGAGAGAGGAAACAACCACGGGCCAUCCAAAGCAUUAUUGUCCCUGAGGGGAAACUGAGGCACGGAGACGGGCUGGGAUCCCUGGCGGCAGAAUCCCGCUGCGUUCCUCAACUGUGAUUUGGAGCUCAUCAUGCAACGGGUUUCCACCGGAUCACGAAACCACUGGUGGACGCGGGGGGGCUUUCCUGGGGCCGGCAGCAUGACAGAGACAGGAGUGUGCCGGGCUUUCAUUGGAGCAUUGCCCUGUUGUGUCUUUCUUGCAUCCUGUGAGAAAACAAACAAAUCCCUGGCAGGAAUGACCCCAGCGGGGCGCGGCCGUGAGUUCACCCUCACCCAUCGGAAAUCCAGUUUUCACAUUUUUUGGGAGAGGAGUAAAGUUUCCGUGGCUGGGGGCAAGUCCCCGUGGCGCUGUUUUGGCUA
This is a long non-coding RNA of Prinia subflava (tawny-flanked prinia), 1134 nucleotides long. RefSeq lists it as uncharacterized. The record is from RefSeq and is a predicted model, not a curated record. Lineage: Eukaryota; Metazoa; Chordata; Aves; Passeriformes; Cisticolidae. The transcript has 2 exons.